RNAcentral lists this ribosomal RNA (467 nucleotides) under uncultured bacterium. RNAcentral's name for it is "partial 16S ribosomal RNA". It matches the Rfam family "Bacterial small subunit ribosomal RNA", at positions 28 to 507 of the family's 1533-position model. The record is from RNAcentral.
GAUGAACGCUGGCGGCGCGCCUAACACAUGCAAGUCGAACGAUUAAAGCACCUUCGGGUGUGUAUAAAGUGGCGAACGGCUGAGUAACACGUGGGCAACCUGCCCCUCUCAUUGGGAUAGCCACGGAAAACCGUGGAUAAUACCGAAUACUUCGGCACUUCCGCAUGGAAGACUCGAGAAAGCUCCGGCGGAGAGGGAUGGGCCCGCGGCCUGUUAGCUUGUUGGUGGGGUAAUGGCCUACCAAGGCAAUGAUGGGUAGCUGGGUUGAGAGACCGACCAGCCAGAUUGGGACUGAGACACGGCCCAGACUCCUAUGGGAGGCAGCAGUGGGGAAUCUUGCACAAUGGGCGAAAGCCUGAUGCAGCGACGCCGCGUGCGGGAUGAAGGCCUUCGGGUUGUAAACCGCUUUCAGCAGGGACGAGGCGAAAGUGACGGUACCUGCAGAAGAAGCCCCGGCUAACUACGUG